GGGGGGGGGGGGGGGGGGGGGGGGGGGAGGGGAGGCGGGGGAAGAGACGAGGAGCUUGCUCCUCUGACGUUAGCGGCGGACGGGGGAGUAACACGUGGAUAACCUACCUAUAAGACUGGGAUAACUUCGGGAAACCGGAGCUAAUACCGGAUAAUAUAUUGAACCGCAUGGUUCAAUAGUGAAAGACGGUUUUGCUGUCACUUAUAGAUGGAUCCGCGCCGCAUUAGCUAGUUGGUAAGGUAACGGCUUACCAAGGCGACGAUGCGUAGCCGACCUGAGAGGGUGAUCGGCCACACUGGAACUGAGACACGGUCCAGACUCCUACGGGAGGCAGCAGUAGGGAAUCUUCCGCAAUGGGCGAAAGCCUGACGGAGCAACGCCGCGUGAGUGAUGAAGGUCUUCGGAUCGUAAAACUCUGUUAUUAGGGAAGAACAAAUGUGUAAGUAACUAUGCACGUCUUGACGGUACCUAAUCAGAAAGCCACGGCUAACUACGUG
RNAcentral lists this ribosomal RNA (497 nucleotides) under uncultured bacterium. RNAcentral's name for it is "partial 16S ribosomal RNA". It matches the Rfam family "Bacterial small subunit ribosomal RNA", at positions 38 to 507 of the family's 1533-position model. The record is from RNAcentral.